AUAUCAAUAAGCGGAGGAAAAGAAACUAACAAGGAUUCCCUUAGUAACGGCGAGUGAAGCGGGAAUAGCUCAAAUUUGAAAGCUGGCAGCAAUGUCCGCGUUGUAAUCUAGAGAAGUGUUUUCCGUGCUGGACCAUAGAUAUGUUCCUUGGAAUAGGAUGUCAUAGAGGGUGAGAACCCCGUACAUGCUAUGGACUGCCAAUGCUUUGUGAUACACUCUCAAAGAGUCGAGUUGUUUGGGAAUGCAGCUCAAAAUGGGUGGUAAAUUCCAUCUAAAGCUAAACAUAGGCGAGAGACCGAUAGCGCACAAGUA
RNAcentral lists this ribosomal RNA (312 nucleotides) under uncultured eukaryote. RNAcentral describes it as "partial large subunit ribosomal RNA". It matches the Rfam family "Eukaryotic large subunit ribosomal RNA", at positions 40 to 350 of the family's 3401-position model. The record is from RNAcentral.